CAGCCGCCGCGGUAAUACGUAGGUGGCAAGCGUUGUCCGGAAUUAUUGGGCGUAAAGCGCGCGCAGGUGGUUUAAUAAGUCUGAUGUGAAUGCCCACGGCUCAACCGUGGAGGGUCAUUGGAAACUGUUAAACUUGAGUGCAGGAGAGAAAAGUGGAUUUCCUAGUGUAGCGGUGAAAUGCGUAGAGAUAGGAGGGACACCAGUGGCGAAGGCGGCUUUUUGGCCUGUAACUGACACUGAGGCGCGAAAGCGUGGGGAGCAAACAGGAUUAGAUACCCCAGUAGUCCCUGUCUCUUAUACA
This 301-nucleotide ribosomal RNA is filed under the name uncultured bacterium. Its description in RNAcentral is "partial 16S ribosomal RNA". It matches the Rfam family "Bacterial small subunit ribosomal RNA", at positions 509 to 808 of the family's 1533-position model. The record is from RNAcentral.